UACAGAGGAUGCAAGCGUUAUCCGGAAUGAUUGGGCGUAAAGCGUCUGUAGGUGGCUUUUUAAGUCCGCCGUCAAAUCCCAGGGCUCAACUCUGGACAGGCGGUGGAAACUACCAAGCUGGAGUACGGUAGGGGCAGAGGGAAUUUCCGGUGGAGCGGUGAAAUGCGUAGAGAUCGGAAAGAACACCGAAAGCGAAGGCAGUCUCCUGGCAAGUUUCUGACGCUCAGGUGCGAAAGCUAGGGGAGCGAACAGG
RNAcentral lists this ribosomal RNA (253 nucleotides) under uncultured bacterium. Its description in RNAcentral is "partial 16S ribosomal RNA". It matches the Rfam family "Bacterial small subunit ribosomal RNA", at positions 524 to 776 of the family's 1533-position model. The record is from RNAcentral.